Molecule: ribosomal RNA, 535 nt
Filed under: Placoneis hambergii
Lineage: Eukaryota; Bacillariophyta; Bacillariophyceae; Cymbellales; Cymbellaceae
Description: eukaryotic LSU rRNA
Rfam family: Eukaryotic large subunit ribosomal RNA
Source: RNAcentral
UUAAUAAGCGGAGGAAAAGAAACUAACCAGGAUUCCCUCAGUAAGGGCGACUGAAGCGGGAAUAGCUCACGUUGUGAAUCGGUGCCUCGGCACUGAAUUGUGGUCUACAGACACGCACACUACUGGCCGGGUCAAGUCCUUUGGAACAGGGCGGCAAAGAGGGUGAGACCCCCGUGCACCUGGCCUUGGAAGUGUGUGUCAACGAGUCGAGUUGUUUGGGAUUGCAGCUCCAAGUGGGUGGUAAGCUCCAUCUAAAGCUAAAUACCGGUGGGAAACCGAUAGUGUACAAGUACCGUGAGGGAAAGAUGCAAAGAACUUUGAAAAGAGAGUUAAAGAGUACCUGAAAUUGCUGAAAGGGAAGCGAAGGAAACCAGUGUAGGCGCCGCCGCAUUUUCCCGUCUGCUUGCAGUCGGGACGCUGUKGCACGCCGUGUCGCCCUUGGUUGGGUGRGAUUGAACUGCGCAGAGAAAGUUGUUCCCUGCAUGCUAGAUCUGGCCCGACCGAGCUGCGACGAAAUGCUUUCUUCUCUCCGUCU